AUGAUACUCCCUCCAUCCUGAAAUUCUUGUCUUAGCUUUGUCUAGAAAUGGAUGUAUCGGAAUACUAAAUUUGAGUAGAUACAUUUGUAUCUAAACAAAUAUAAGACAAGAAUUUCGGGACGGAGGAAGUACUUU
Molecule: non-coding RNA, 135 nt
Organism: Hordeum vulgare subsp. vulgare (domesticated barley)
Lineage: Eukaryota; Viridiplantae; Streptophyta; Magnoliopsida; Poales; Poaceae
Source: Rfam